Molecule: ribosomal RNA, 443 nt
Filed under: Sphingobium yanoikuyae
Lineage: Bacteria; Pseudomonadati; Pseudomonadota; Alphaproteobacteria; Sphingomonadales; Sphingobiaceae
Description: bacterial SSU rRNA
Rfam family: Bacterial small subunit ribosomal RNA
Source: RNAcentral
GAGAUCUUCGGAUCUAGUGGCGCACGGGUGCGUAACGCGUGGGAAUCUGCCCUUGGGUUCGGAAUAACUUCUGGAAACGGAAGCUAAUACCGGAUGAUGACGUAAGUCCAAAGAUUUAUCGCCCAAGGAUGAGCCCGCGUAGGAUUAGCUAGUUGGUGGGGUAAAGGCCCACCAAGGCGACGAUCCUUAGCUGGUCUGAGAGGAUGAUCAGCCACACUGGGACUGAGACACGGCCCAGACUCCUACGGGAGGCAGCAGUAGGGAAUAUUGGACAAUGGGGGAAACCCUGAUCCAGCAAUGCCGCGUGAGUGAUGAAGGCCUUAGGGUUGUAAAGCUCUUUUACCCGGGAUGAUAAUGACAGUACCGGGAGAAUAAGCUCCGGCUAACUCCGUGCCAGCAGCCGCGGUAAUACGGAGGGAGCUAGCGUUGUUCGGAAUUACUGG